This 468-nucleotide ribosomal RNA is filed under the name uncultured bacterium. RNAcentral's name for it is "partial 16S ribosomal RNA". It matches the Rfam family "Bacterial small subunit ribosomal RNA", at positions 28 to 507 of the family's 1533-position model. The record is from RNAcentral.
GACGAACGCUGGCGGCGUGCUUAACACAUGCAAGUCGAACGGAAAGGCCCUGCUUUUGUGGGGUGCUCGAGUGGCGAACGGGUGAGUAACACGUGAGUAACCUGCCCUUGACUUUGGGAUAACUUCAGGAAACUGGGGCUAAUACCGGAUAGGAGCUCCUGCUGCAUGGUGGGGGUUGGAAAGUUUCGGCGGUUGGUGAUGGACUCGCGGCUUAUCAGCUUGUUGGUGGGGUAGUGGCUUACCAAGGCUUUGACGGGUAGCCGGCCUGAGAGGGUGACCGGCCACAUUGGGACUGAGAUACGGCCCAGACUCCUACGGGAGGCAGCAGUGGGGAAUAUUGCACAAUGGGCGGAAGCCUGAUGCAGCAACGCCGCGUGCGGGAUGACGGCCUUCGGGUUGUAUACCGCUUUCGCCUGUGACGAAGCGUGAGUGACGGUAAUGGGUAAAGAAGCACCGGCUAACUACGUG